CCUACGUGCGGCAGCAGUGGGGAAUAUUGGACAAUGGUGGAAACCCUGAUCCAGCGACGCCGCGUGAGUGAAGAAGUAUUUCGGUACGUAAAGCUCUAUCAGCCGGGAAGAAAAUGACGGUACCUGACUACGAAUCCCCGGCUAACUACGUUCCAGCAGCCGCGGUAAUACGGAGGGGGCAAGCGUUAUCCGGAUUUACUGGGUGUAAAGGGAGCGUAGGCGGCAGCGCAAGUCUGGAGUGAAAUGCCGGGGCCCAACCCCGGAACUGCUCUGGACCCUGUGAAGCUGGAGUGCAGGAGAGGUAAGCGGAAUUCCUGGGGUAGCGGUGAAAUGCGUAGAUAGCAGGAGGAACACCGGCGGCGAAGGCGGCGUACUGGACUGUAACUGACGUUGAGGCUCGAAGGCGUGGGGAGCAAACAGGAUUAGAUACCCCUGUAGUC
RNAcentral lists this ribosomal RNA (440 nucleotides) under uncultured bacterium. Its description in RNAcentral is "partial 16S ribosomal RNA". It matches the Rfam family "Bacterial small subunit ribosomal RNA", at positions 338 to 795 of the family's 1533-position model. The record is from RNAcentral.